UCGAGCCGUUGAAACUGGCGUUCUUGAGUGGCGAGAAGUAUGCGGAAUGCGUGGUGUAGCGGUGAAAUGCAUAGAUAUCACGCAGAACUCCGAUUGCGAAGGCAGCAUACCGGCGCUCAACUGACGCUCAUGCACGAAAGUGUGGGUAUCGAACAGGAUUAGAUACCCUGGUAGUCCACACAGUAAACGAUGAAUACUAAUUGUUCGGGGAGAAUGAUCCCUGAGUGAUACAGCGAAAGCGUUAAGUAUUCCACCUGGGGAGUACGCCGGCAACGGUGAAACUCAAAGGAAUUGACGGGGGCCCGCACAAGCGGAGGAACAUGUGGUUUAAUUCGAUGAUACACGAGGAACCUUACCCGGGCUCAAACGACACAGGAAUACUUUUGAAAGGAGGUAGCUCUACGGAGUCUGUGUCGAGGUGCUGCAUGGUUGUCGUCAGCUCGUGCCGUGAGGUGUCGGCUUAAGUGCCAUAACGAGCGCAACCCCCAUCGCCAGUUACCAGCAAGUCAAGUUGGGGACUCUGGCGAGACUGCCGGCGCAAGCUGUGAGGAAGGCGGGGAUGACGUCAAAUCAGCACGGCCCUUACGUCCGGGGCGACACACGUGUUACAAUGGCAGGUACAGAGAGAAGCAAUGCGGCGACGCAAAGCGGAACUUGAAAGCCUGUCUCAGUUCGGAUUGGAGUCUGCAACUCGACUCCACGAAGCUGGAUUCGCUAGUAAUCGCGCAUCAGCCAUGGCGCGGUGAAUACGUUCCCGGGCCUUGUACACACCGCCCGUCAAGCCAUGGAAGCCGGGAGUGCCUGAAGUGUGCAACCGCAAGGAGCGCCCUAAGGUAAAACUGGUGACUGGGGCUAAGUCGUAACAAGGUAACCGUAA
RNAcentral lists this ribosomal RNA (877 nucleotides) under uncultured bacterium. RNAcentral describes it as "bacterial SSU rRNA". It matches the Rfam family "Bacterial small subunit ribosomal RNA", at positions 619 to 1505 of the family's 1533-position model. The record is from RNAcentral.